UACAGAGGGUGCGAGCGUUGUCCGGAAUCACUGGGCGUAAAGGGCGCGUAGGUGGCCCGACAAGUCAAUGGUGAAAGCUCGACGCUUAACGUCGAGUCGGCCACUGAUACUGUUGGGCUGGAGCACUGUAGAGGCUCAUGGAAUUCCGGGUGUAGCGGUGGAAUGCGUAGAGAUCCGGAAGAACACCGGUGGCGAAGGCGGUGAGCUGGGCAGUUGCUGACACUGAGGCGCGACAGCGUGGGGAGCAAAC
RNAcentral lists this ribosomal RNA (250 nucleotides) under uncultured bacterium. RNAcentral describes it as "partial 16S ribosomal RNA". It matches the Rfam family "Bacterial small subunit ribosomal RNA", at positions 524 to 773 of the family's 1533-position model. The record is from RNAcentral.